AAGACUAUAGACCUGCGGAGUACCUGCGGAGGGAUCAUUAAAGAGUACCGGAGCUCUCGGGCUCCUACUCCCACCCUAUGAUGACUUUAAAUGUUGCUUUGGCGGACCGGCAAUAUUGCCACCGGCCUAGGCUGGAUAGCGUCCGCCGGAGGAUUUUUAAAUUCCUUUGAAGGUGAAUUCUGAGUCUUUGAAAAUUGAAUCAAAACUUUCAACAACGGAUCUCUAGAUCGGAAGAGCACA
Molecule: unclassified non-coding RNA, 240 nt
Filed under: soil metagenome
Description: partial contains 5.8S ribosomal RNA, internal transcribed spacer 2, and large subunit ribosomal RNA
Source: RNAcentral